RNAcentral lists this ribosomal RNA (2934 nucleotides) under Escherichia coli. Its description in RNAcentral is "23S ribosomal RNA". It matches the Rfam family "Bacterial large subunit ribosomal RNA". Lineage: Bacteria; Pseudomonadati; Pseudomonadota; Gammaproteobacteria; Enterobacterales; Enterobacteriaceae. The record is from RNAcentral.
GGGUUGUGAGGUUAAGCGACUAAGCGUACACGGUGGAUGCCCUGGCAGUCAGAGGCGAUGAAGGACGUGCUAAUCUGCGAUAAGCGUCGGUAAGGUGAUAUGAACCGUUAUAACCGGCGAUUUCCGAAUGGGGAAACCCAGUGUGUUUCGACACACUAUCAUUAACUGAAUCCAUAGGUUAAUGAGGCGAACCGGGGGAACUGAAACAUCUAAGUACCCCGAGGAAAAGAAAUCAACCGAGAUUCCCCCAGUAGCGGCGAGCGAACGGGGAGCAGCCCAGAGCCUGAAUCAGUGUGUGUGUUAGUGGAAGCGUCUGGAAAGGCGCGCGAUACAGGGUGACAGCCCCGUACACAAAAAUGCACAUGCUGUGAGCUCGAUGAGUAGGGCGGGACACGUGGUAUCCUGUCUGAAUAUGGGGGGACCAUCCUCCAAGGCUAAAUACUCCUGACUGACCGAUAGUGAACCAGUACCGUGAGGGAAAGGCGAAAAGAACCCCGGCGAGGGGAGUGAAAAAGAACCUGAAACCGUGUACGUACAAGCAGUGGGAGCACAGAGCAAUCUGUGUGACUGCGUACCUUUUGUAUAAUGGGUCAGCGACUUAUAUUCUGUAGCAAGGUUAACCGAAUAGGGGAGCCGAAGGGAAACCGAGUCUUAACUGGGCGUUAAGUUGCAGGGUAUAGACCCGAAACCCGGUGAUCUAGCCAUGGGCAGGUUGAAGGUUGGGUAACACUAACUGGAGGACCGAACCGACUAAUGUUGAAAAAUUAGCGGAUGACUUGUGGCUGGGGGUGAAAGGCCAAUCAAACCGGGAGAUAGCUGGUUCUCCCCGAAAGCUAUUUAGGUAGCGCCUCGUGAAUUCAUCUCCGGGGGUAGAGCACUGUUUCGGCAAGGGGGUCAUCCCGACUUACCAACCCGAUGCAAACUGCGAAUACCGGAGAAUGUUAUCACGGGAGACACACGGCGGGUGCUAACGUCCGUCGUGAAGAGGGAAACAACCCAGACCGCCAGCUAAGGUCCCAAAGUCAUGGUUAAGUGGGAAACGAUGUGGGAAGGCCCAGACAGCCAGGAUGUUGGCUUAGAAGCAGCCAUCAUUUAAAGAAAGCGUAAUAGCUCACUGGUCGAGUCGGCCUGCGCGGAAGAUGUAACGGGGCUAAACCAUGCACCGAAGCUGCGGCAGCGACGCUUAUGCGUUGUUGGGUAGGGGAGCGUUCUGUAAGCCUGCGAAGGUGUGCUGUGAGGCAUGCUGGAGGUAUCAGAAGUGCGAAUGCUGACAUAAGUAACGAUAAAGCGGGUGAAAAGCCCGCUCGCCGGAAGACCAAGGGUUCCUGUCCAACGUUAAUCGGGGCAGGGUGAGUCGACCCCUAAGGCGAGGCCGAAAGGCGUAGUCGAUGGGAAACAGGUUAAUAUUCCUGUACUUGGUGUUACUGCGAAGGGGGGACGGAGAAGGCUAUGUUGGCCGGGCGACGGUUGUCCCGGUUUAAGCGUGUAGGCUGGUUUUCCAGGCAAAUCCGGAAAAUCAAGGCUGAGGCGUGAUGACGAGGCACUACGGUGCUGAAGCAACAAAUGCCCUGCUUCCAGGAAAAGCCUCUAAGCAUCAGGUAACAUCAAAUCGUACCCCAAACCGACACAGGUGGUCAGGUAGAGAAUACCAAGGCGCUUGAGAGAACUCGGGUGAAGGAACUAGGCAAAAUGGUGCCGUAACUUCGGGAGAAGGCACGCUGAUAUGUAGGUGAAGUCCCUCGCGGAUGGAGCUGAAAUCAGUCGAAGAUACCAGCUGGCUGCAACUGUUUAUUAAAAACACAGCACUGUGCAAACACGAAAGUGGACGUAUACGGUGUGACGCCUGCCCGGUGCCGGAAGGUUAAUUGAUGGGGUUAGCGGUAACGCGAAGCUCUUGAUCGAAGCCCCGGUAAACGGCGGCCGUAACUAUAACGGUCCUAAGGUAGCGAAAUUCCUUGUCGGGUAAGUUCCGACCUGCACGAAUGGCGUAAUGAUGGCCAGGCUGUCUCCACCCGAGACUCAGUGAAAUUGAACUCGCUGUGAAGAUGCAGUGUACCCGCGGCAAGACGGAAAGACCCCGUGAACCUUUACUAUAGCUUGACACUGAACAUUGAGCCUUGAUGUGUAGGAUAGGUGGGAGGCUUAGAAGUGUGGACGCCAGUCUGCAUGGAGCCGACCUUGAAAUACCACCCUUUAAUGUUUGAUGUUCUAACGUUGACCCGUAAUCCGGGUUGCGGACAGUGUCUGGUGGGUAGUUUGACUGGGGCGGUCUCCUCCUAAAGAGUAACGGAGGAGCACGAAGGUUGGCUAAUCCUGGUCGGACAUCAGGAGGUUAGUGCAAUGGCAUAAGCCAGCUUGACUGCGAGCGUGACGGCGCGAGCAGGUGCGAAAGCAGGUCAUAGUGAUCCGGUGGUUCUGAAUGGAAGGGCCAUCGCUCAACGGAUAAAAGGUACUCCGGGGAUAACAGGCUGAUACCGCCCAAGAGUUCAUAUCGACGGCGGUGUUUGGCACCUCGAUGUCGGCUCAUCACAUCCUGGGGCUGAAGUAGGUCCCAAGGGUAUGGCUGUUCGCCAUUUAAAGUGGUACGCGAGCUGGGUUUAGAACGUCGUGAGACAGUUCGGUCCCUAUCUGCCGUGGGCGCUGGAGAACUGAGGGGGGCUGCUCCUAGUACGAGAGGACCGGAGUGGACGCAUCACUGGUGUUCGGGUUGUCAUGCCAAUGGCACUGCCCGGUAGCUAAAUGCGGAAGAGAUAAGUGCUGAAAGCAUCUAAGCACGAAACUUGCCCCGAGAUGAGUUCUCCCUGACUCCUUGAGAGUCCUGAAGGAACGUUGAAGACGACGACGUUGAUAGGCCGGGUGUGUAAGCGCAGCGAUGCGUUGAGCUAACCGGUACUAAUGAACCGUGAGGCUUAACCUUACAACGCCGAAGCUGUU